UACAGAGGUCUCAAGCGUUGUUCGGAUUCAUUGGGCGUAAAGGGUGCGUAGGUGGCGCUGUAAGUCGGGUGUGAAAUUUCGGAGCUUAACUCCGAAACUGCAUUCGAUACUGCUGUGCUUGAGGACUGGAGAGGAGACUGGAAUUUACGGUGUAGCAGUGAAAUGCGUAGAUAUCGUAAGGAAGACCAGUGGCGAAGGCGGGUCUCUGGACAGUUCCUGACACUGAGGCACGAAAGCCAGGGGAGCAAACGGG
This 253-nucleotide ribosomal RNA is filed under the name uncultured bacterium. Its description in RNAcentral is "partial 16S ribosomal RNA". It matches the Rfam family "Bacterial small subunit ribosomal RNA", at positions 524 to 776 of the family's 1533-position model. The record is from RNAcentral.